GAUCCUGGCUUAGGACGAACGCUGGCGGCGUGCUUAGCACAUGCAAGUCGAACGGGGAUAAUGGCGGAAAGCUUCGGCCGGAAGACAUUAUCGAGUGGCGGACGGGUGAGUAACGCGUGAGCAAUCUGUCCCAGACAGGGGGAUAACACUUGGAGACAGGUGCUAAUACCGCAUAAGACCACGGUGUCGCAUGGCACAGGGGUAAAAGGAGCGAUCCGGUUUGGGGUGAGCUCGCGUCCGAUUAGCCAGUUGGCGGGGUAACGGCCCACCAAAGCGACGAUCGGUAGCCGACCUGAGAGGGUGAUCGGCCACAUUGGAACUGAGAGACGGUCCAAACUCCUACGGGAGGCAGCAGUGGGGAAUAUUGGGCAAUGGGCGAAAGCCCUGACCCAGCAACGCCGCGUGAGUGAAGAAGGCCUUCGGGUUGUAAAGCUCUGUUACAGGUGACGAAGGAAGUGACGGUAACUUGUAAGGAAGCCCCGGCUAACUACGUGCCAGCCGCGGC
Molecule: ribosomal RNA, 505 nt
Filed under: uncultured bacterium
Lineage: Bacteria
Description: bacterial SSU rRNA
Rfam family: Bacterial small subunit ribosomal RNA
Source: RNAcentral